This 373-nucleotide long non-coding RNA is filed under the name Carica papaya (papaya). RNAcentral's name for it is "long non-coding RNA (CPAP_LNC011786)". The record is from RNAcentral. Lineage: Eukaryota; Viridiplantae; Streptophyta; Magnoliopsida; Brassicales; Caricaceae.
UCGAUCUACUUUUCUCUUGACAUCGUAGAAGGAAUUCUAUUCCACAAUAUCAAAAUGCUUUGCGGGAUUUUAUUUUCUCAGAAAAAAAAAACAAAGAUCACAGAACAGGCAUGUCCAAGGCUCGCAGAACAUCCUUGAAUUCAAAAUCUCGUGUUUCUUUAUUAAACCGUUCAACGAGUUUGUAUAUGGUAUCAUUCAGAUAGAGAGACUGAACCGUCUCCAAAAGCCACUUCGCUUCUUCAUCAGUGAGCUUGCUGGUGAACACAACAUCUCCCCGUAUAAGUACCAAGUCCUUGGUUUCUGCAAAUUCAGUGUAAAAAGUUGCAGUCAAGUAGGGAGCUGCUUGAGUUCCUCUUGCCUAGUAAUCUUCAAG